Molecule: long non-coding RNA, 333 nt
Organism: Pseudophryne corroboree (corroboree frog)
Lineage: Eukaryota; Metazoa; Chordata; Amphibia; Anura; Myobatrachidae
Exons: 3
Source: RefSeq, a predicted model, not a curated record
GAAGAGAGGGGACGGACACGGGCUCCACGGGAGCUGCUAGGACUUUUUCUGCGGCUGCUGGAAAGAGGCAGAGGAGCAGCUAGCCCAAUGCAGAUUCACAUUGAGGUUGGUGUUGCUCAGGAAUGGCCUCUGCACCUCCUGGUCCACAGUGAAGACUCCAAGUGAAAAGUUCUUGCAUCAUCACGAGAAGCAGAAGAUGCCUCAUUGACAGUUGCAGAAUCACCACUCAUAAAUAAAGGCCACUGCCUGAGUUUUUCCAUGCUACUGCGUGUGGUGAAUAGCAUGUUGGAAAUGUUAUGGGGGGUUUUCGGCAAUAAACAACUUUCCCUUUAA